This is a transfer RNA of Cavia porcellus (domestic guinea pig), 79 nucleotides long. It matches the Rfam family "tRNA". Rfam says of the family: Transfer RNA (tRNA) molecules are approximately 80 nucleotides in length. Their secondary structure includes four short double-helical elements and three loops (D, anti-codon, and T loops). Lineage: Eukaryota; Metazoa; Chordata; Mammalia; Rodentia; Caviidae. The record is from Rfam.
GGGGAUUUAGCUCAGUGGCAUAAGCACCUGCCUUGCAAGCAGGUGGUCGUGAAGCAGGCGGUUGUGAGUUCGAUCCCCG